CCCUCUCCAACAGCUCCCUGUCACGACAAACUGUUCGCACCCCUUUUUUUUCCUCUCUCUUCUUCCCAGGGCCUGAGCCCCCGUCACAGACUGACAUCUAAGGAUAACCCAGAGCGGAGUAUUUGCAAGCUGGCCAGCAGGGAAGAAGGUCGCAAGAGUCUCUGCGGCAGACGGGCUGCGCAUCACCGCUGCGCCAUGUGCCAGUUUACCAUAGGCUGCGUGCUGAUCCCCCGACACGCAGCCGGGUAGAAACAAAGGCCCGGUUCUCCUGGGGAUCACUGUUAGAUGAAAUGCCUCUGGGGCUGCGGAUCGAUCUGUGCCUGCGUUUCUGCAGGAUGGUUAGGUUGGCUGGGUUGGUUAGGUUGUAAGAAAUGUACCAGCGUUGUCCUGCCAACAGGAAGUGAGCCGUGAAUCUUGGUGUUUGAAGAUAAUCUGCACCCUGGUAUUACUGUGUCUCAUCUCACCGGGGUUUAAGGCUUUUAGUAAAUGUAAAAAGAUGGGAGUGUUCGUUCUGGAAAUAGAAAUGUUGUGUUUUCCUGAGCAGAGCGUCUCCGAAGCCCAAGUUUGGCACUUCCGAAAAGGAAAUUCUUCGGAGCGUGAGUCAGUGCGAGCAAAGGGCCAGCAGCGGGCCGAUGGAAACAGCGGGAUGGAGCCGGGUCCAGUGAGCACUGCAUCGAGAGGUAACGCAAAAGGAGUAAUUCAUCUGUGCUGUUCACGGAGUUGUGAAAUAAACGUGCUAAAAUGAGCUUAUCUGGAUCCUACGUUCAAUAGUGCCAUGCCUAGCAAAGUUGAAGCUCGAGGGCAGAUUUUAUUCGCGAUUGCAGUGGCGGCGUCUCGCAAGCAGCAGGGCGCCGAGAAAGCAGCGUUACACCUUUUAUCCCCUACUGCCCGGCGCUGAUCUCCUGCCCUGGUUCCUCACUGGCUGCGCACUGCAGGCUCACACUCUGCCGCGACGCUUCACUAGUCAUACAAAUACCAGCCCGAUGAUGAUUUGCAUGGAGCUCCUCCCUGCUGCGUCCAGCUUCCUGACAGACUGGGAGGUGAGCCGAGGGAGCUGCCUCCCGUCCCUUAGAUGUGGUCACAGAAGAAAGCCGUCGUCCAGCCUUUGCGACGCGGUGAGGUGUCGUGGGGUCAGUAGUGGUUACACCAGUCCACGGGUUCCAUUCGGCACGUGGCUGUCGGAACGUCUGAGCUUUGAUGAGAGACGUGUGGGUGCUGGGGUUGCCGCCCCUGUACUUCAUAGCGGGUGCUACCCUGCACACCCUGCUCUCUGGAAGUGCUGUAUCAAUACCUGAACUGGACGAACCAGCUUUUAUCCUGAACCUUUCGGAGAUGCUCAAACGGAAAAUUCUAUUUGCAUUUAACCUUGGAGCAACGCGGGGAGUUGCAGUGUGGUACGGUGAUACCUCUGCCCAAAUCGAGAGUUCAGGUCAGGUCAGAGCCGGCCGCUGGACGGAGAAUCUGGGUGAUGUGUUUGCUCCCGGCAAAACAUCAAAUGGUCUUUGAAAACAGCACCUGGCGAGGCCACGUGUGGUCAGAUCGGACUGGACACGCUUUUGAAGAAUUCAACUCACAAGUGCUGAAAAUGGCCCUGCAGAGCCGGUCAGCGCUUGAUGCGCUGCUACUGGGGGCUCAGCAGAGUGUGUGUGGCUGUUGGAGCCAACCAAGGAAACGCAUCACUGCUCGUAAUGCCUCCAGAGGAGAAGCUUUAGGCAACAGAGACCACAGAGCAAACAUCCGAACUGUUCACUCCGUGCUGAUAUAGGCUGGUUUGCUUAGCAGCGGGGAUUAGGACGUUAGCUUGAGGACCUGUGUAUUAGUUUAGCAAAAGGAAUCCACGAGUGAUAGUUCUGAAACCUUUCCAGUUCAGCUUGAGUGGGCGAAUGGUCUUCGUUCUCCUCGAUAAUUUUGUGCUGGGGACAUAAUGGAAUGCUUUUAUCUUUUGCCUCAAAAGGUGCAGGGACGUUUCCCUUGGGCUCCACAUGCACUGUUGUUAAGAAGUGUCUCACUGUGUCCUAAAAAGCAAUGGGAAUCUUCCAAACGGGGAAAGCGGAUGGCAGUGGGUCAGAGGUCUCAGUGGUAAAGCUGAGGGUGGAAAAUGGGGAAGAACGGGUGGGCACUCGACCACCCGAGGAAGCACCGGGCAUCCAAAGGACAUCAGCACAGCUCUGAGUCCUUGAAAAAGAAUGGGCUCGUGUGCCCACGAACCGCAUGUGCAUGUCAGAGCUGUUCCAGUGCAGCUCCUGCACUCCAAGAGGGGUCCUGGCACCUGGUGCGUGCUGUGAGGAAUAAAGGAAUGGCAUUUCGGCACCGCAGUGCAGUUAGUUUUCUUCCCGGAUUUCGGACGACACUGCAACCGACAGACUGACCUGACGGGCUCUGGGUCCUGGUUCACCAUCCUUUAACAGAACUGGGACUCACAGGGUGGGGAAAACGACUGGCACGGAUCAGAACUGCGAUACCGGACCUCUAUUUCUUAGCUGGUACAGCUAUUGUUAAGUGUAUGAUUACUCCGCUGCUUCCUUUUGUCUUCUCACUCCCUGCCUUCUGUUUGUUAUAUCAUAUUUAUGUCACCCCUCUCGAAGAUGAGCAUUUUGCUGCUCACUGAUUUGAGACACCGGGUGCCGUCUGAAACCAGUGGGGAGCGUCUCAAAUCAACAUGAGGCCAUCAACACUGCUUUGCGGGCACUUUUGCACUCGAAAGCAUUUCUUUGGAGUUGUUUGCCUUGCAAUGGAGGGCGCAGCAGUGUUUGUUGGCUGAAGACUCGGCCUGGGAGCCAACGACAGCGGCUUGAUACAGGAGACUGGGAGCUGUUAGCAUUGCAUCCUCUGAAGGCAAGGUGCAAGCUGGCAUCUCCCUGCUCCCUCUUGUCUGCUGACUGAGAUUUGCAAGGCCGGGAAGACGGAGAAGUUCCUGCUGAGAUCCCAAAGCUGGAAACUCAGCUGCUUUGGACUACGAGCAAGAAUUUGUACCGUUGCUUUCAGCCGUCAGCUGAUGGGGGUCCUGUCAGGGACUGUGGGGUCUGUGAGAUCCCAGGUGGGCCUGGAUGGGGCUGGGGAGGUGCUAGGAAGGAAAUAUGGGGGUUCAGUGGGAGUGCUGGGGGGAUACGGGGUGCUGCUGGGGACUACGGGGAACCUGUGAGAUCCCAGGCUGGCUGUGUGGGAGGGCUGCUGUGUUUGAGAAGGUCCUUGAGGGGCUCUGUGGGGGCUGUGGGGAAUACAGGCACGUGGGGGGAUAUGGGGACACGGCCUGCAGGAGCAGAAUGCUGCUCAGGAGAACGCCUGAUGUGGGCUUCAGGCGGGACAUGGGGCACACGGACAUGGGGUGGUAUGGGGACGUAGGGGGAUGGGGGAUGUGAGGAGUGGUUUGAGGCAAAAAGGGGGGUGUGGGGCAGUGUUGGAGUGGUUUUCUCUCUUCCUGAGAGGGGACUGGGGUCCCUGAGGCCCGAAGGUGGGGCCACGAGCCAUGACCCCACAUGAGCCAUAGCCCAAGGUGACCACAUAACCCUGUGUGUGCGUGACCCCAUGGCUGCACGUGACCCACAGCCCUGUGUGAACCACAGCCCCACACGACCCUGUGACUCCCUGACCUGCCUGCCCCCACCACGCUGAGAUCAGAUGCCGUGUGGCCCCAGAACUCUGGGAUCCCUGCCCCCACCUCACCCCGGACCACAUAACCCCACAUGACCCCUACCUGAUGUCAGCCCAUCUGUCCCUACCAUCCCGUCUGACCCCGUAACUGUGACCCAGAACCCCAUAAAGCUGUGCUACUCCAUAAGGCCACAACUCUGUGAUUCUGCAGGACCCCACGUGACUCACAACCCCGUGUCCUGACCCCAUGUGGCCACAGAACCAGCUGUGCGUGGGGAAAAGGCAUCCCCUCCUAGGGGUGGUGUUGCCCCAGAGCUGCCCCAAAGAGCUGUGGGGUGGGCUGCAGGCACACGUCUCCUUUUGGAGAGCUGGGAAGUGGCCGAAGGGGCCAGAAAGUAAAGAAAUACCUUGGCAAGGUUCUGUUGUCGGUAGCUUUAGUUUUUGUAAGUGGACGAGAAGAGAACAAACUGUCGUAAAGCAAUCUGCUCACACCCAAACUGUGAGACCAAGCGUGGAUGAGGUCCAGCUCUUGGAAGGCACUUUUACAGUUCCAGCUGUAAAUCCUGGAGGACUUGGUGAGCUAGAUGCACAAUGCAGGAGGCAAUACUUCUCAGCAUAGCAGGAACAGUUUGCGGUUGGCGCCAUCGGGAACGGCCACGGCAACCUGCAGGUGCACCACGUUCUGUCAGCACAGGGACGGAUCCCACUGAGGCUGGGGAAGGGGCUGCAGCUUGGCUGCUGCGCUGCUGCGUGGCUCCCUGGGGAUGGCAGCAAGUCCCAAAGCAACGGGUCUUGCAGAUGUGAGGGUAACCCCUGUGACCUGGAGGAACACACAGCCAGACGUGACCCAAAAAGCAGAAUGCAAUUAAAGGUAAAUCUGGAACCAGCAGUGGUCAAGUGAUCCAGGUGUUCCUGUGCUGCUCAGUCCUGACCCUGACUCCUUUGAUGGGUCCAGCUCCUCUGCUGCGAGCAGUGAGAAGAUCACCAGACUCUCUGAGCCGGGUGGUGAGCCGAGAAGAAGAUCUGGGC
Non-coding RNA from Meleagris gallopavo (turkey), 4620 nucleotides. NCBI's taxonomy places the organism in Eukaryota, Metazoa, Chordata, Aves, Galliformes, Phasianidae. The record is from RefSeq and is a predicted model, not a curated record.